Molecule: ribosomal RNA, 253 nt
Filed under: uncultured bacterium
Lineage: Bacteria
Description: partial 16S ribosomal RNA
Rfam family: Bacterial small subunit ribosomal RNA
Source: RNAcentral
UACGUAGGGACCAAGCGUUGUUCGGAUUUACUGGGCGUAAAGAGUGUGUAGGCGGUGCUCUAAGUUCGGUGUGAAAUCUCCUGGCUUAACUGGGAGGGUGCGCCGGAAACUGGAGUGCUUGAGCGUGGGAGAGGAAAGCGGAAUUCCUGGUGUAGCGGUGAAAUGCGUAGAUAUCAGGAGGAACACCUGUGGUGUAGACGGCUUUCUGGACCAUUGCUGACGCUGAGACACGAAAGCGUGGGUAGCAAACAGG